Molecule: ribosomal RNA, 510 nt
Filed under: uncultured bacterium
Lineage: Bacteria
Description: partial 16S ribosomal RNA
Rfam family: Bacterial small subunit ribosomal RNA
Source: RNAcentral
GACGAACGCUGGCGGCGUGCUUAACACAUGCAAGUCGAACGAAGAGCGAUGGAAGCUUGCUUCUAUCAAUCUUAGUGGCGAACGGGUGAGUAACGCGUAAUCAACCUGCCCUUCAGAGGGGGACAACAGUUGGAAACGACUGCUAAUACCGCAUACGAUCUAAUCUCGGCAUCGAGGAUAGAUGAAAGGUGGCCUCUACAUGUAAGCUAUCACUGAAGGAGGGGAUUGCGUCUGAUUAGCUAGUUGGAGGGGUAACGGCCCACCAAGGCGAUGAUCAGUAGCCGGUCUGAGAGGAUGAACGGCCACAUUGGGACUGAGACACGGCCCAGACUACUACGGGAGGCAGCAGUGGGGAAGCUUCCGCAAUGGACGAAAGUCUGACGGAGCAACGCCGCGUGAGUGAUGACGGCCUUCGGGUUGUAAAGCUCUGUUAAUCGGGACGAAAGGCCUUCUUGCGAAUAGUGAGAAGGAUUGACGGUACCGGAAUAGAAAGCCACGGCUAACUACGUG